This 61-nucleotide transfer RNA is filed under the name Cassida circumdata. RNAcentral's name for it is "tRNA-Leu". It matches the Rfam family "tRNA". Rfam says of the family: Transfer RNA (tRNA) molecules are approximately 80 nucleotides in length. Their secondary structure includes four short double-helical elements and three loops (D, anti-codon, and T loops). Further hydrogen bonds mediate the characteristic L-shaped molecular structure. tRNAs have two regions of fundamental functional importance: the anti-codon, which is responsible for specific mRNA codon recognition, and the 3' end, to which the tRNAs corresponding amino acid is attached (by aminoacyl-tRNA synthetases). tRNAs cope with the degeneracy of the genetic code in two manners: having more than one tRNA (with a specific anti-codon) for a particular amino acid; and 'wobble' base-pairing, i.e. permitting non-standard base-pairing at the 3rd anti-codon position. The record is from RNAcentral. Lineage: Eukaryota; Metazoa; Arthropoda; Insecta; Coleoptera; Chrysomelidae.
GUUAUUUUGGCAGAAUAGUGCAUUGGAUUUAGAUACCAAUAAUGUAGUUUUACAAAUAAUA